AGCGGCGCUGAUCACCAUCAAGAAUUUAACUUACCAAGUUCUUGAAAUCAAUAGCGAGGCACAUAAUCUUAAAGUUGCUAGAACAGAUUACAUAGGAAGCAUCUGUCCAAACCUCCUUUUAAACACCACUUUGGAUUUUUCCUUUUUCAGUUAUGCUUCCGAUAUUCAGAAUAUAACCCUAUACUAUGGUUGCCCCCAGCUGCCAUCAUUUUUAAAUCCAUUAGCCGGAAUUCCAGGGCUUUCCACUCAGUUCACUUGCACAUUAAACAACAGCGACAGCGGAGGUUUUUAUUUAACUAGGAACCUAGGUAACUUCAGUGCUACAAUACUCAACAACUUGGGAUCCUGCGCCAAUAGAGUUAUUGUUCCGGCGACUCAAUCAUCCGUUAGCACUUUAGAGAGCGGUCUAACCCAGG
RNAcentral lists this unclassified non-coding RNA (416 nucleotides) under Hevea brasiliensis (rubber tree). The record is from RNAcentral. Lineage: Eukaryota; Viridiplantae; Streptophyta; Magnoliopsida; Malpighiales; Euphorbiaceae.